This 446-nucleotide unclassified non-coding RNA is filed under the name Hevea brasiliensis (rubber tree). The record is from RNAcentral. Lineage: Eukaryota; Viridiplantae; Streptophyta; Magnoliopsida; Malpighiales; Euphorbiaceae.
CUCAUGUUCACCAGUUGAAGGGUAGCAGCUCUAGCAUUGGUGCUCAGAGAGUUCAGAAAGUCUGCAUUGCCUUCCGAAACUACUGCGAUGAGCAGAACACUGAAGGGUGCCUAAAAUGCCUGCAACAGGUGAAGCACGAGUACUCCCUAGUGAAAACCAAGCUUGAAACUCUGUUCAAGCUUGAGAGAAAGGUCCUGGCAGCUGGAGGAUCAAUUCCUUUGCCUAUCUGAUGAAGUGAUUAAAAACAGGCAAUAGCAGGCAAAAUGGGAUUUUGGAUAUGUAGAGGAGAUUUCCUUUUCUAUCUUCAUUGCUUCUUUUCCAUUUUCUAUCGACUACUUAAGCUCUAAAGUGUUCCAUCAGUUUUUUAGCAUAAGUUUGUACUAUAUGCAAUGUAUGAGCAAUGACAAAGAAUGUGAAUAAACCCUCCCGUUGAGCUUUGUUCUUUA